GGAAAGAUGAAAAGAACUUUGAAAAGAGAGUUAAAUAGUACGUGAAAUUGUUGAAAGGGAAACGAUUGAAGUCAGUCGUACCGGCGGAUAAUCAACCUUUCGGCGUGAUUAUGUGGAGCGUGAGGAGUUAAUCACUUUCAUGCCUGCAUAUUCGUGUAUUUUGGGUGUACUUAUCUGUAUGGUAGGUUAACAUCAAUUUUGGUCGUUAUAAAAUGACUGGGGAAAUGUGGCUUUGAUUUCGUAUUGAAGUGUUAUAGUCUCUGGUAGAUAUAGUGACCGGGAUUGAGGAUUGCAACGGAUACCCUUUCGGGGCUACUCGUCUGAUCUCUGAUCGUUACUCUGGUGCUGAAAGCUUGCUUACGGUUAUCAAAGUUGAUGGUUAAUAAGUUAGAACGGGUUAAAUUCGUUAAGGAUGUUGACGUAAUGGCUUUAAACGACCCGUCUUGAAACACGGACCA
Molecule: ribosomal RNA, 458 nt
Filed under: Rhizophagus manihotis
Lineage: Eukaryota; Fungi; Glomeromycota; Glomeromycetes; Glomerales; Glomeraceae
Description: LSU rRNA
Rfam family: Eukaryotic large subunit ribosomal RNA
Source: RNAcentral